GCCUUCUUAGCUCAGUGGUAGAGCGUUGCACUUGUAUGAGCUCGCCGAGCUUUGACACUAAUGCAAAGGUCAGUCGUUCAAUCCGGCUAGGAGGCA
Molecule: non-coding RNA, 96 nt
Organism: Lentinula edodes (shiitake mushroom)
Lineage: Eukaryota; Fungi; Basidiomycota; Agaricomycetes; Agaricales; Omphalotaceae
Source: Rfam